AGUUCCUUACUGAGACCUAGACAACCAGGUGAGGAGAGUUCCUUACUGAGACCUAGACAACCAGGUGAGGGGAGUUCCUUACUGAGACCUAGACAACCAGGUGAGGAGAGUUCCUUACUGAGACCUAGACAACCAGGUGAGGGGAGUUCCUUACUGAGACCUAGACAACCAGGUGAGAAGAGUUCCUUACUGAGACCUAGACAACCAGGUGAGGGGAGUUCCUUACUGAGACCUAGACAACCAGGUGAAGAGAGUUCCUUACUGAGACCUAGACAACCAGGUGAGGGGAGUUCCUUACUGAGACCUGGACAACCAGGUGAGGGGAGGUCCUUACUGAGACCUAGACAACCAGGUGAGGGGUGUUCCUUACUGAGACCUAGACAACCAGGUGAGGGGUGGUCCUUACUGAGACCUAGACAACCAGGUGAGGGGAGUUCCUUACUGAGACCUAGACAACCAGGUGAGGAGAGACCUAGACAACCAGGUGAGGGGAGUUCCUUACUGACACCUAGAUAACCAGGUGAGGAGAGUUCCUUACUGAGACCUAGACAACCAGGUGACCGGAGUUCCUUACUGAGACCUAGAGAACCAGGUGAGGGGAGACCUAGACAAACAGGUGAGGGGAGACCUAGACAACCAGGUGAGGGGAGUUCCUUACUGAGACCUGGACAACCAGGUGAGGGGAGUUCCUUACUGAGACCUGGACGACCAGGUGAGGGGAGUUCCUUACUGAGACCUAGACAACCAGGUGAGGGGAGUUCCUUACUGAGACCUAGACAACCAGGUGAGGAGAGACCUAGACAACCAGGUGAGGGGAGACCUUUUACACGUGUCAAGUAGUAUCUGGUCCUAUCAUCAUCAUCAUCAUCAUCAUCAUCUCAUAAACAGUAGCCCUGAUCUGAGCAGGUUUAUUUAUACCACAUUUUUUCAGAUCAAGGGAUAGUUCAAUCAAAUUACAAAAAACGUACACCUUAGUUUCCUCACCCUGUAUAAAAUCCCCCAAAAUGUUCAGCAGUGAAGUUCUCAAGAUGGACUUUCAGUACAGCGGUGUUCCCCAAUCCUGGUCCCAAGGGAUGCACACUGUUGUUUUUUUGCCUCAGCACUCACAUACCUUAUUCAAUUCAAAGGUCCUUUUGAUCCCCUGGACCAGGAAACACUGCAGUAUAGAGCCAAUGAGAGGGAUGAUGCUAAUGAUAUGAUAAUAAUUAUAAUAAUGUUUCUCAUUUGUGUCAUCAUCACUGUUUGCUCUGUACUGAAAGUGCUCCAUCUUGAAAACUUGAUUUGCUAACAUGCACGAUUGUUGGGAUUAUAUUAACAAUGGACUAAAUAAACAAAAUACUACAAUAAAUAUUUUGAUAAACAUCCCAUUCAUAGCAGCUACCACUCCAUUCAGGAAAGCUGUGUCGAGUAACUUUUGCUCCAUCGCCUCCACAUCCUGCACAGUAUUCACAGGGAAACAGCACCCGUCGUAUUCACAGGGAAACAGCACCCGUCGUAUUCACAGGGAAACAGCACCCGUCGUAUUCACAGGGAAACAGCACCCGUCGUAUUCACAGGGAAACAGCACCCGUCGUAUUCACAGGGAAACAGCGCCCGUCGUAUUCACAGGGAAACAGCACCCGUCGUAUUCACAGGGAAACAGCACCCGUCGUAUUCACAGGGAAACAGCACCCGUCGUAUUCACAGGGAAACAGCACCCGUCGUAUUCACAGGGAGACAGCACCCGUCGUAUUCACAGGGAGACAGCACCCGUCGUAUUCACAGGGAGACAGCACCCGUCGUAUUCACAGGGAAACAGCACCCGUCGUAUUCACAGGGAGACAGCACCCGUCGUAUUCACAGGGAAACAGCGCCCGUCGUAUUCACAGGGAAACAGCACCCGUCGUAUUCACAGGGAGACAGCGCCGUCGGGUUGUGCUGCUGUCACGGUGGUACCACUGUGAGGUCCUGACUCCUCUUCCUCCAUGUCUGAGUCAGUCUGAGAUCAGAAGUCUCUUCUGCCUUUUUA
This 2008-nucleotide long non-coding RNA is filed under the name Salmo salar (Atlantic salmon). RNAcentral's name for it is "lncRNA (ENSSSAG00000120987.1)". The record is from RNAcentral. Lineage: Eukaryota; Metazoa; Chordata; Actinopteri; Salmoniformes; Salmonidae.